AGUCUGGCUGUAAACUGGAGAAGCACACAUCCAGCCCUUCUCAAGGGCUCCACAAACCACCCUCUGCAGCUCGCGUCCCCAUUCGUCAAGGACUGGCCACGCAUCCUCGCCCUGACCGCAGCAAGGAUCCUACCUGAGAUAUUCCAGCUGCCUCUUGUCCUGAAGGAGGUGGAGACCAUUUUCCCCCAGCCCUUCCUGGCCCUCCUCUUGCAAGCGUCCUUCACCACGGAGCAGACGGAGCAGGAGGUGGAAAUCUUCUGGGUGGAGCACCAGCAGGGCCAGCUCACUCCCAGCAGGUGCCACAUCCCCACCCCCCCCUGCACCCAGGGACUCAGUGUUGGGGCUCCCGCUGCGACUCGCACCGUUCUCCUCCCGCAGGUCCGCGGUGCGGGCCUUGAAGCUGCUGCUCUGCAGCGGGGCGGCUGGGACGCGCUUCUCAGCGCCGUGACCCACCUCCAGGGUGUGCAGGUGGUGGCCAGGGUGAUGAGGGAACUGCCUGGAGCUCUGCGUGCCCCCAUCUUCCACCAGCUGGUUGAGCUGCUCAGCAACAGCUUUUACUCCUGGGAGAUGGUGGCCAUAGUCUUCCUCACUGAGGCAAGGACAAUGCUCAUCUUCCUGCAGUGCAUCACAGAGCAGCUGCAGGAUGCAGACAGCGACGCCCAUGCCAUUGUACUGCCAAUACUCAGCAACCUGCUGCAGCUCCUGGAGGGCGAUGAGCUCAGCCUCAUGGCUCUGGAGCUGGCCAGCAAGCUCCCAGCGCUCUUUAAUGAGAUAAGGAUGGGAGGGAGCCCAGCACACUAAGGAUUUGGCAACGACCCCAGUGUGCCCAUGCCUGCUGCCCUGUGACAGCACACCAGGGAACUUCCUGGCUGGUCGCCUGUUCCAGGCUCUGUGUGUCCCUGGGCAGACUUCCUGCAGGGCAGAGCUUGUGCACUUUGGAGCAGUUUUGGGGCCAUCCUCAAGAUCUGCCUGCAGCCUCUCAGCUCAGAGAUUCUGCUCCCAUGUGGUUGGCGGUGCUGGCCCUGCUCCGUUGGGCUUGGAGCUGCUGACACUGACAUCCUUCCCUCCUCCUCCACAGGAGUCCAGCACGGUGUGGCAGCUCUCCAUCCACCUCUUCCUCGAAACGCUGAGCUUUGUGG
This 1139-nucleotide long non-coding RNA is filed under the name Numida meleagris (helmeted guineafowl). Its description in RNAcentral is "lncRNA (ENSNMEG00000008834.1)". The record is from RNAcentral. Lineage: Eukaryota; Metazoa; Chordata; Aves; Galliformes; Numididae.